AGUCAUGUAGCUCAGUAGGUAGAGCACUCGACCGAUAAUCGAGAUGUCGUAGGUUCGAUCCCUACCGUGACUACCA
This 76-nucleotide transfer RNA is filed under the name Alphaproteobacteria bacterium. RNAcentral's name for it is "tRNA-Ile". It matches the Rfam family "tRNA". Rfam says of the family: Transfer RNA (tRNA) molecules are approximately 80 nucleotides in length. Their secondary structure includes four short double-helical elements and three loops (D, anti-codon, and T loops). Lineage: Bacteria; Pseudomonadati; Pseudomonadota; Alphaproteobacteria. The record is from RNAcentral.